GGGUUGUGAGGUUAAGCGACUAAGCGUACACGGUGGAUGCCCUGGCAGUCAGAGGCGAUGAAGGGCGUGCUAAUCUGCGAUAAGCGCCGGUAAGGUGAUAUGAACCGUUAUAACCGGCGAUACCCGAAUGGGGAAACCCAGUGUGACUCGUCACACUAUCAUUAACUGAAUCCAUAGGUUAAUGAGGCGAACCGGGGGAACUGAAACAUCUAAGUACCCCGAGGAAAAGAAAUCAACCGAGAUUCCCCCAGUAGCGGCGAGCGAACGGGGAGGAGCCCAGAGCCUGAAUCAGCAUAUGUGUUAGUGGAAGCGUCUGGAAAGGCGCGCGAUACAGGGUGACAGCCCCGUACACAAAAGCGCAUGUGCUGUGAGCUCGAUGAGUAGGGCGGGACACGUGGUAUCCUGUCUGAAUAUGGGGGGACCAUCCUCCAAGGCUAAAUACUCCUGACUGACCGAUAGUGAACCAGUACCGUGAGGGAAAGGCGAAAAGAACCCCGGCGAGGGGAGUGAAAAAGAACCUGAAACCGUGUACGUACAAGCAGUGGGAGCCCCACCACUAAGCCAGUGGUGAACUCCACAUACGCAUCCUUUGCUGAGGAUACGGUUAACGGAGCGAAAGCGACGUUCAACCUCAAAAGAAGCAGAGGGGGCUUAGUGGUGGGGUGACUGCGUACCUUUUGUAUAAUGGGUCAGCGACUUAUAUUCUGUAGCAAGGUUAACCGAAUAGGGGAGCCGGAGGGAAACCGAGUCUUAAU
This 755-nucleotide ribosomal RNA is filed under the name Salmonella enterica subsp. enterica serovar Infantis. RNAcentral describes it as "partial 23S ribosomal RNA". It matches the Rfam family "Bacterial large subunit ribosomal RNA", at positions 1 to 688 of the family's 2925-position model. Lineage: Bacteria; Pseudomonadati; Pseudomonadota; Gammaproteobacteria; Enterobacterales; Enterobacteriaceae. The record is from RNAcentral. RNAcentral also lists the same sequence under 2 other names.